RNAcentral lists this ribosomal RNA (502 nucleotides) under Vibrio sp. 2Bb3S55. RNAcentral describes it as "bacterial SSU rRNA". It matches the Rfam family "Bacterial small subunit ribosomal RNA", at positions 382 to 876 of the family's 1533-position model. Lineage: Bacteria; Pseudomonadati; Pseudomonadota; Gammaproteobacteria; Vibrionales; Vibrionaceae. The record is from RNAcentral.
CCUGAUGCAGCCAUGCCGCGUGUGUGAAGAAGGCCUUCGGGUUGUAAAGCACUUUCAGCAGUGAGGAAGGUGGUGUGCUUAAUACGUACAUCAUUUGACGUUAGCUGCAGAAGAAGCACCGGCUAACUCCGUGCCAGCAGCCGCGGUAAUACGGAGGGUGCGAGCGUUAAUCGGAAUUACUGGGCGUAAAGCGCAUGCAGGUGGUUUGUUAAGUCAGAUGUGAAAGCCCGGGGCUCAACCUCGGAAGGUCAUUUGAAACUGGCAAACUGGAGUACUGUAGAGGGGGGUAGAAUUUCAGGUGUAGCGGUGAAAUGCGUAGAGAUCUGAAGGAAUACCAGUGGCGAAGGCGGCCCCCUGGACAGAUACUGACACUCAGAUGCGAAAGCGUGGGGAGCAAACAGGAUUAGAUACCCUGGUAGUCCACGCCGUAAACGAUGUCUACUUGGAGGUUGCGGUCUUGAACUGUGGCUUUCGGAGCUAACGCGUUAAGUAGACCGCCUGG